GCCUUCGUGGCGUAGUGGUCAGCACGCUCGACGCGAAGUCAAGAGGUCCGUGGUUCGAGUCCCGGCGAGGGCA
Non-coding RNA from Stegodyphus mimosarum, 73 nucleotides. Lineage: Eukaryota; Metazoa; Arthropoda; Arachnida; Araneae; Eresidae. The record is from Rfam.